AGAUUAAGUUAUUAAGGGCGCACGGUGGAUGCCUUGGCACUAGAAGCCGAUGAAGGACGUUACUAACGACGAUAUGCUUUGGGGAGCUGUAAGUAAGCUUUGAUCCAGAGAUUUCCGAAUGGGGAAACCCAGCAUGAGUUAUGUCAUGUUAUCGAUAUGUGAAUACAUAGCAUAUCAGAAGGCACACCCGGAGAACUGAAACAUCUUAGUACCCGGAGGAAGAGAAAGAAAAUUCGAUUCCCUUAGUAGCGGCGAGCGAAACGGGAAGAGCCCAAACCAACAAGCUUGCUUGUUGGGGUUGUAGGACACUCUAUACGGAGUUACAAAGGACGACAUUAGACGAAUCAUCUGGAAAGAUGAAUCAAAGAAGGUAAUAAUCCUGUAGUCGAAAAUGUUGUCUCUCUU
RNAcentral lists this ribosomal RNA (405 nucleotides) under Staphylococcus aureus. Its description in RNAcentral is "partial 23S ribosomal RNA". It matches the Rfam family "Bacterial large subunit ribosomal RNA", at positions 1 to 398 of the family's 2925-position model. Lineage: Bacteria; Bacillati; Bacillota; Bacilli; Caryophanales; Staphylococcaceae. The record is from RNAcentral.